CUUAUUUGAGUGCGCCAAAUCCAUUUCCGCAUCCGUUUCGUGCAGAAACGACUCCGACUCAGUCCGACAUCCUCCAGACGUGUCGGCCAGUCACUAAAACUGUAGCCAAUCCUAUCCAAACCUCUGGAACACUACAGCCAAAUUGGUAAGAUCUCAUAAAUUUAUUUAUUAUACAUAUCCUUCAUAAUUCUUUUAACUUGUUGUUCGUAAGUCAGCUGGUAUUUUAACUCAUGUUCGGCUCGUUAAUAAACGAGCCGAACAAGACCUGAAUUUUUCGGCUCAAUACUUUAACGAAUCAGCUCAUGUUUGACUCAUUUAUGAAACAAGCCGAACACGAGCCGGUCCCAGUUCGCUCGUUUUCGACUCAUCGACACCCCUAGCCCU
This 384-nucleotide long non-coding RNA is filed under the name Ananas comosus (pineapple). RNAcentral describes it as "long non-coding RNA (ACOM_LNC031883)". Lineage: Eukaryota; Viridiplantae; Streptophyta; Magnoliopsida; Poales; Bromeliaceae. The record is from RNAcentral.